UCCCCGUUAUCCUGGGCAGUCCUUCCAGAGUUCCCGGCAUGACCCGUUGGCAACUGGAAGCAGGGGUUGCGCUCGUUGCGGGACUUAACCCAACAUCUCACGACACGAGCUGACGACGGCCAUGCAGCACCUGUGUCUAGGUUCUCUUUCGAGCACUCUCACAUCUCUGCGAGAUUCCUAGCAUGUCAAGGGUAGGUAAGGUUUUUCGCGUUGCAUCGAAUUAAACCACACGCUCCGCCGCUUGUGCGGGCCCCCGUCAAUUCCUUUGAGUUUCAACCUUGCGGUCGUACUCCCCAGGCGGGGUACUUCCUGCGUUAGCGCCGGCACCCAGAGGGUCGCUCCCCCAGGCACCUAGUACCCAUCGUUUACGGCGUGGACUAC
RNAcentral lists this unclassified non-coding RNA (381 nucleotides) under uncultured bacterium. RNAcentral describes it as "contains 16S-23S intergenic spacer region". The record is from RNAcentral.